This 458-nucleotide ribosomal RNA is filed under the name Ophiosphaerella herpotricha. RNAcentral's name for it is "LSU rRNA". It matches the Rfam family "Eukaryotic large subunit ribosomal RNA", at positions 72 to 534 of the family's 3401-position model. Lineage: Eukaryota; Fungi; Ascomycota; Dothideomycetes; Pleosporales; Phaeosphaeriaceae. The record is from RNAcentral.
GGAUUGCCCUAGUAACGGCGAGUGAAGCGGCAACAGCUCAAAUUUGAAAUCUGGCUCUUUUAGNGUCCGAGUUGUAAUUUGCAGAGGGCGCUUUGGCGUUGGCAGCGGUCCAAGUUCUUUGGAACAGGACGUCACAGAGGGUGAGAAUCCCGUACGUGGUCGCUAGCCUUCGCCGUGUAAAGCCCCUUCGACGAGUCGAGUUGUUUGGGAAUGCAGCUCUAAAUGGGAGGUAAAUUUCUUCUAAAGCUAAAUACUGGCCAGAGACCGAUAGCGCACAAGUAGAGUGAUCGAAAGAUGAAAAGCACUUUGGAAAGAGAGUCAAAUAGCACGUGAAAUUGUUGAAAGGGAAGCGCUUGCAGCCAGACUUGCCNGUAGUUGCUUNUCCGGACUUUUGUCCGGUGCACUCUUCUNNGGGCAGGCCAGCAUCAGUUUAGGCGGUUGGAUAAAGGUCUCUAUCA